RNAcentral lists this unclassified non-coding RNA (1450 nucleotides) under Hevea brasiliensis (rubber tree). The record is from RNAcentral. Lineage: Eukaryota; Viridiplantae; Streptophyta; Magnoliopsida; Malpighiales; Euphorbiaceae.
UAGUUAUGUUUGAGUGAAAGGAACUCAAAUCUUCUGUUAACUUAGGAUAUGUCAAUACAACAACAGAGUAACAGAAUAUAGCGAACAUGUGAAAGAAGGCACAGAUGCUAACGCCUGCUCAUUUUUACAUCUCGUCUCUAUGUAUCCUAAUAGGGAAGUACCUAAUCUAAGCCAGCAUCACUGGCAUAUCUGUGUAGUAGAGUUCAUUUAUCAAUCCAAUCUUUGAAAAGAAGCAUCAUAUAUAGAGGGAUGUUAAAAGCUGCAACGAUAGUAAUUAUACACAAUGUCCUCACCAAUCUCCUAAUUACCAUCUUUGUCGCUGAUUUGUUUGUCCGAGGCAAUGCUUUUACCGCGGUAUCUGAUCCUAUAUGUAAAGUCACAUCAGCGGGAUUUGAGGUAUCUGUCUCUUGUUUUCUGGCAACUGACCGCAUGAUAGCAUUACCCCGUUCUACUGAAGCGCUGUCGCUUGAGCAUGUAGAAGACACUUUAAAGGUUUUCUUUAUGAGGUGCAUCGAUCCUUCUGCAUCCCAUAUCUCCUCAUAUUCAUAUAUCUCAUCUUCACUUUUCAGUUUUUUCCCACCUCCCCAAAAGCUUGAACUAAUUAGACCUCUUACAUUCCUAAGAAAUCCAUCAAGAUAGUUUGGAAAGAGCACCCCACUCGUGGGCCAAAAGACGGCAAUAAGAAGGGUUAUGACAAACAGCAAAAUAUACCAUAUAUAAAUGUAUAACUGCACAGGGAGAAAGCACACUUUGGUGGAAAUUGCAUCCGCUGACAUUGAUCCAUUCGGUAAGAUAAGGCUACUUGCAGAUAAUAGCAUGUAAGAUGGAAACAAAUUUCCCUGCUGCCAGCUUAUAGUACCUAGAGUAUGCUCUUCUACGGAACCAUAUUUGGAUUUGUGGAUCACUGUACACUGAUCAUGGUCAUGCCCGGAGAGAAUUAGUGCAGGUUUGAUCGAGUCAAGCAGGUCAUUCGUUCCUUUUUCAGUAAUAUAGUUUUGAUAUAAUAUUUCCUUAUCCUGAGCAGCACGGUUGAUUCUCUGAUUAAUAAUUGACGAUGAGCGGUAUGAACCGCAGGCAGUUUGAUCUGGUCGAUACAAUGGAAUAUGAGUCAAUAGAACCCUUGGAUUCGAAGACAGAUGGUUAGAGACAUUCUUGACAAAUUCCCAUGUGGCAGGGGUUAUAUUGUUCUGGGGAUGCCCAUCUAAGGUUUGCGCAUCGAUGGUGAUGAAAUCUACUUUCCCAGCUGUAAACUGAUAGUUCCUUUCACCAAAUGCUUUCUCGUAGCGUUUGAUAACCUCCGGCAUACGCGAGUGAAAAGCUGCAUACCCUAUAUCAUGGUUUCCAGCAAGGUAGUACAGCUUUAUGUUCGUAGUUUGUUCAAGCAUGUCAAUGUCAAAUAUAUGCUUAAACCGACUCCAGGAUUCCUGCCAUUCUUCAUCAGAGAGAAAAG